Long non-coding RNA from Cloeon dipterum, 1177 nucleotides. RefSeq lists it as uncharacterized. NCBI's taxonomy places the organism in Eukaryota, Metazoa, Arthropoda, Insecta, Ephemeroptera, Baetidae. The record is from RefSeq and is a predicted model, not a curated record. The transcript has 3 exons.
UCAUGUCAAUUGAUUCCUGAGGGUCAAAAUAGGUAAAAAGUCAAAAGACUUGGUCAACAAAACAUGACGAUCCGAAUAUCGGUGCCAACAUAAAAGGAGCCAGAUCGAGAAAGCAUAGCGUCUCAACCAGAGCCAGGGUAAUAAUUAAGCGUCAAGGUUGGCAGCUGGUUACCUACACUGUCUGUCACUGUGGCGCUACCAUCUCGAUCUGUAUAUGUGCUAACUGUGAGCAUAAUUAUGUUAUAUUAAGCCAAUCAGAAAUAUAUCUUGUAAGUCACCGGCAUUCUUGCUUGCGGAACAUUUUGAUAAAUUCAGACAAAAUACCACCAAAGUAACGGUUUUUAUGCUUUCCACCGAUUUUUGACACACGUUGUGGCGUAUUAAACCGAUUGAUUCGGAAGCCUAACCUAAUUUGACCCUCAGGAGUCAAUUGGCAGAGUCGAAAAUUAAAUUCCAGUGCCACUUUCGGAACAAACUUAAAAAAAUGAAACAUAUAGAUUCAGAAAAAUGGAUGUCCAAAGUGCUACCUGCAUUUACAAAAUGUAUGCUUUCUUUUCGAUGUGUUUGUUUAAUUUAACCAAUUACCUAUAUACGCAGUUCAAAAAUUACAAUGCUCUGUUCAAAAUGGGUAAUUCACGUUCAAAAUUUUAUUGGCAAAAUUAUCCAAGGACCAAUUUGCAGCUGCUCAAAUUUCCCAUCCGAUUUGUGGAAAGAUAUUGGAUUUCACGCACAUUACCUCUUCUUCCAACUACGAUAUGUCCUCGAUGAUUUGCGGCAUGGUUUGGCCUGACACAAAGCAUUGGCUGCCAAAGAGCUACGAUGAAGUUCGAUGCGUUAUAGAAGCAUUACCCCCAGAAGUGAGAGUCGUGGGCAAACUGCGAUUGCCAGUAUACAAGAGCAAUUGCAGCAAAGAAUUCUUCCUCUGCACCGUUGACACGCCUCGUUCCAUUAAGAAAUCUUUUCUAAAUGCGGAGCUCAAUGGAAAUACGACGAUUUUUCAAAACACCACAGAAUGUGCACUUUUUGAGUUUAAAAAUGAUCCGAAGAAGGCGCCAGAUUUUCGACUGAAAAUUACUGACUGCAACGAAGCUGCUUUUACGUUAUGUGAGAAAGACGUUUAAAGAUAUCGUAUUUGAAUUGCUUGUGAUAUUUGUAUUCCUUUUCAAAAUAAAUCAAU